GAUGAACGCUGGCGGCGUGCCUAAUACAUGCAAGUCGAGCGAACGGACGAGAAGCUUGCUUCUCUGAUGUUAGCGGCGGACGGGUGAGUAACACGUGGAUAACCUACCUAUAAGACUGGGAUAACUUCGGGAAACCGGAGCUAAUACCGGAUAAUAUUUUGAACCGCAUGGUUCAAAAGUGAAAGACGGUCUUGCUGUCACUUAUAGAUGGAUCCGCGCUGCAUUAGCUAGUUGGUACGGUAACGGCUUACCAAGGCAACGAUGCAUAGCCGACCUGAGAGGGUGAUCGGCCACGCUGGAACUGAGACACGGUCCAGACUCCUACGGGAGGCAGCAGUAGGGAAUCUUCCGCAAUGGGCGAAAGCCUGACGGAGCAACGCCGCGUGAGUGAUGAAGGUCUUCGGAUCGUAAAACUCUGUUAUUAGGGAAGAACAUAUGUGUAAGUAACUGUGCACAUCUUGACGGUACCUAAUCAGAAAGCCACGGCUAACUACGUG
Molecule: ribosomal RNA, 497 nt
Filed under: uncultured bacterium
Lineage: Bacteria
Description: partial 16S ribosomal RNA
Rfam family: Bacterial small subunit ribosomal RNA
Source: RNAcentral